UCCGGUUUGUCACCGGCAGUCUCGCUAAAGUGCCCAACUUAAUGAUGGCAAUUAACGACAAGGGUUGCGCUCGUUGCGGGACUUAACCCAACAUCUCACGACACGAGCUGACGACAGCCAUGCAGCACCUGUGUUCUGGCUCCCGAAGGCACCCCCUGAUCUCUCAGGGGUUCCAGACAUGUCAAGGGUAGGUAAGGUUUUUCGCGUUGCAUCGAAUUAAUCCACAUCAUCCACCGCUUGUGCGGGUCCCCGUCAAUUCCUUUGAGUUUUAAUCUUGCGACCGUACUCCCCAGGCGGUCGACUUCACGCGUUAGCUGCGUCACUCAGAAAGUUACCUCUCCGAACGACUAGUCGACAUCGUUUAGGGCGUGGACUAC
This 377-nucleotide unclassified non-coding RNA is filed under the name uncultured Gammaproteobacteria bacterium. RNAcentral's name for it is "contains 16S-23S intergenic spacer region". The record is from RNAcentral. Lineage: Bacteria; Pseudomonadati; Pseudomonadota; Gammaproteobacteria.